GAUGAACGCUAGCGGCAGGCCUAAUACAUGCAAGUCGAACGGGAUCCAGAUCAAAGCUUGCUUUGGUCUGGUGAGAGUGGCGCACGGGUGCGUAACGCGUGAGCAACCUACCCUUGUCAGGGGGAUAGCCCGGCGAAAGUCGGAUUAAUACCGCAUGACAUCAUUGAGAGGCAUCUUUCGAUGAUCAAAGAUUUAUCGGACAAGGAUGGGCUCGCGUGACAUUAGCUCGUUGGUAAGGUAACGGCUUACCAAGGCUGCGAUGUCUAGGGGCUCUGAGAGGAGAAUCCCCCACACUGGUACUGAGACACGGACCAGACUCCUACGGGAGGCAGCAGUAAGGAAUAUUGGUCAAUGGACGGAAGUCUGAACCAGCCAUGCCGCGUGCAGGAGGACGGCCCUAUGGGUUGUAAACUGCUUUUAUACGGGAACAAACGUCGGUACGUGUACCGGUCUGAGUGUACCGGAAGAAUAAGGAGCGGCUAACUCCGUG
Molecule: ribosomal RNA, 490 nt
Filed under: uncultured bacterium
Lineage: Bacteria
Description: partial 16S ribosomal RNA
Rfam family: Bacterial small subunit ribosomal RNA
Source: RNAcentral